RNAcentral lists this long non-coding RNA (359 nucleotides) under Androctonus crassicauda. The record is from RNAcentral. Lineage: Eukaryota; Metazoa; Arthropoda; Arachnida; Scorpiones; Buthidae.
AUAGGGAGAUUGUGGCACUGCAGAGGUGUGGAAUGUGUGUUUAAGGAAUGUGUAAUUGCCAAAUGAGACAGGACACAUCAAGUUUCUGAACUAUACAUGCCAAUGUUUACUGUUAAUUACCCAUGAUGUGACCACCAUUCAGAUGUUCCGAGAACUGCAUGCGGCACAUGACAUCUUCCACACCAAUAUGUUAUACACUGCCAUGGAAGAUAUGCACCACAUGCAGUUCUUGGAACAUCUGAAUGGUGCUCAUAUUGAACUUCGUGUAAUUAACAGUAAAUGUUGGCAUGUAUUGUUCAGAAACUUGAUGUAUGCUGUCUCAUUUGGUGAUUACACAUUCCUUAAUAACACAUUCUACA